AGCCCAUGAGUGGUUACCGGAAAAGGGUCUGCAAAUAGCUCAAACCAAUUCUCUGGCCAAGGCCACGAUCAUCCGUUCUGUCUUUGCUGGGGUUGAUAGAGCUGCAAUAUUGUAUUGGGCUCACUGGGUUUUCAAAUCAGGCCGGUGUGAGGUCUUGCAGCCUCUUCUUCAAUUGUCACUUGUUCAGGUUAUUCGAAAACGUCUCUUUCAAGGGCGGAGAAGAAGCUACAACAAGACUACGGAGGUUACGAGUUGUUUUAUAACGCUGGCUGCAGGAGAAAUGGCAGGGUCCAUAUGGGCGACGCAGCUGUGACCUGAGCCCUGUAUCGCU
This 331-nucleotide small RNA is filed under the name Histoplasma capsulatum var. duboisii H88. Its description in RNAcentral is "Histoplasma capsulatum H88 hypothetical RNA". The record is from RNAcentral. Lineage: Eukaryota; Fungi; Ascomycota; Eurotiomycetes; Onygenales; Ajellomycetaceae.